AUUGAACGCUGGCGGCAUGCCUUACACAUGCAAGUCGAACGGUAACGGGCCUUCGGGUGCCGACGAGUGGCGAACGGGUGAGUAAUACAUCGGAACGUGCCCGAUCGUGGGGGAUAACGAGGCGAAAGCUUUGCUAAUACCGCAUACGAUCUACGGAUGAAAGCAGGGGACCGCAAGGCCUUGCGCGGACGGAGCGGCCGAUGGCAGAUUAGGUAGUUGGUGGGAUAAAAGCUUACCGAGCCGACGAUCUGUAGCUGGUCUGAGAGGAUGAUCAGCCACACUGGGACUGAGACACGGCCCAGACUCCUACGGGAGGCAGCAGUGGGGAAUUUUGGACAAUGGGCGCAAGCCUGAUCCAGCCAUGCCGCGUGCAGGAUGAAGGCCUUCGGGUUGUAAACUGCUUUUGUACGGAACGAAAAGCCUUCUUUUAAUACAGGAGGGUCAUGACGGUACCGUAAGAAUAAGCACCGGCUAACUACGUG
RNAcentral lists this ribosomal RNA (482 nucleotides) under uncultured bacterium. RNAcentral describes it as "partial 16S ribosomal RNA". It matches the Rfam family "Bacterial small subunit ribosomal RNA", at positions 30 to 507 of the family's 1533-position model. The record is from RNAcentral.